AAAUUCUACUCUGCCUUACUCACUCUCUGUUGUCUGUGUACCUUAUUCCUUUUGGUUGCAGGACAAGAACCUGGAACUCACCAACCUGUGGGAGUGAAAGAGCUGUAAUGCUUCCGUUUGCCAAGCUGCAGGCAGCAGGAAUAAAAGAGCUGUAACCCUCUCUCCUGCUCAAUGAACAACAGGAGAGAAGAAGCUGCUGGGUGCCACUCCCUCCUGCUUGCCAAACUACAGGAGUUAAAAAGCCCCAACAAUGUCCACCCAUUCAGGCUCAAGGCACUGGGUGCCACAUUAAAAGCCUCUGCAACGACACACUGUGAUCUAGGGAGCUUCCCCAGGUCUCAACCUGACCUUCUGUUCUGACCAUUUGCCUCAUACUCUGACCAUGUGGCUCCCGAUCCUGAGCUGAUUCUCUUGGGCUGCCUCCUGAUUCUAGGCCUUGAUUCUGAUCAUGAAAACUCAUGGGAAACGACGUCUGGCAGAUCAUUCCACCCCACCUCUGACUAUGCUCAGACUAGCCCUCCAGGACCUCAUCCACUAGACUUCCCAGUGCAUUCAUCCAAGGAGAAUAUCAGGGAAGGGAGAGGUCAAGCAUGAGAAAGACUGAUGUGGAAGUAAAGAAACCUGAAUUCUUGACCCCGCCCUGCUACUAGCCAGCCUUCUGAUAUCAGGUACACUUUUAUUUCAUGUAUUUAUCAAGCAUCCAGUACCUAGCCAAGCAUAGUACUGGCACUUCAGGAACAACACAGAUGAAUAAGAAAUAGGAUCUGUUUUUAAGAAGCCCAUGGGGAAGCAGACCCAUACAUAAAAUCUAAGCCACAAAAUAUUGUAGGAUCUACUAUGUAGGGUGCUUGAG
Molecule: long non-coding RNA, 853 nt
Organism: Homo sapiens (human)
Lineage: Eukaryota; Metazoa; Chordata; Mammalia; Primates; Hominidae
Exons: 3
Source: RefSeq, a predicted model, not a curated record